This 3009-nucleotide long non-coding RNA is filed under the name Sus scrofa (pig). Its description in RNAcentral is "lncRNA (ENSSSCG00005042863.1, ENSSSCG00040075952.1)". The record is from RNAcentral. Lineage: Eukaryota; Metazoa; Chordata; Mammalia; Artiodactyla; Suidae.
GGGAUAAAUGAAGGGUAAGCAGUUGUGUAGCUGUGGUGGGAGCAGUGGUGGGUAGCUUUCAAUAGUAGAUCAUCAUAUUUUUCCAUUUUCUGAAACCACAGUUCUUUCCUGAAACCCAUUAGUCUGGUUUAGGCUUCAGGCUGCUGGAGGAAAGCAUUAUUUAGUGAGUGCUGCAGAAGCUGAUUCUUGUGGAACCCAUGAGACUUAGAUCUUGCUGAUGUCAGAAUUUUCACAAGAUUUUGCAUUUUCAGAGACGUUUUGUACUCUGUUUGUGAGCUUGAUAUAAAUGGUCUUGUUUUCUAUUUCCCAGAUUAAAAUCUGUGGAUAAAAAGAACUUCAUUUGUUCCCUAUGGAAGAUGCAAAAUAUAUUUGAGUGACUGAAUGGAUACAUCUUUGUGAAUGACUAUGACUCAGGUUUACAUUGCCAUUUUCAUAAAAAAAAGGGGGAAAAUUUGCUCUUCUAAACUAAAUUCAAGAGUAGAGAGAGGUAAUACUAUGUCCACCAAAAAAUUACAAUAGAAGUGAAAUAUUCAUAUUCUAGUCUUUCAAACAAAAGUAAGGAACCAUUUUGUUGCUCCCUCUCAUGGCUGAGAUUAGGGAAUUCUGGCUUUUCUCUUUGGUCAGGUGAACUACUCAGGGGUAUUUAUUAAGUGAAUACAUUCACCAAACAGUCUUGGACUUCACAGGACAACUUCUCGGUGCCAUUCAGUGAAAGCUGGGAAUACGAAGAUGCCUAAGGUCAUGUGAGCCCCACAUUUCUUGCAGUCCAGUGGAAAGACAGCUGCAUGAAUAUAUACUAGAGUGAAUAUAGAUACAAUAAAUUAUACCCAAGUGUAAUACAAUUAACAACUUUUAUGCUAGUGGUAUAAACCAGAAGAGGGAUUUUGUCAAUCGAUAUUAAUUUGGGAGGUUAAGGAGGGUUUUACUGAGAAGAUAAGUUGAAAUGCAAGGAUGUAUACACAUUUUUCCAGGCAGAAAAUGGGAAAGGCAUUAUGGAAGGAGGCAAGCAAAGGCAAGGCAGUGGAUGGACGUGGGAAACUGCCACACACCAUCUCUUGAGGAUACGAAAGGAGACAAGGUAGGCACAGGUCAGAUGGAGAAGGUGUCCUUGGCAUGCCCGUGUGCAUGUGGGAGCAAACCAGGCUUUCAGCCAAGACGUCACUGACUGCAUACAUAUAGGUUCUUUAAAAUGCCAGCUUUGGCAGGAGGUUGUAGAACUGAUUGGGUGGUGGGCAGUGUGAGAAGACAGGAGAGAAGAGGGGCCAGUAUUAUUAAAUUCUGUAACUCUUUUUUUUCAUUACAGAUUUUAAAAAAAUGUUGCUAAAAAUACGUGCAGGUUUUUAAAAAAGCUGAUUUCAUCUCUGAUUAGUGGCCAAGGCAACAGUCAGUACAGAUUAAAAAGAAGUUGCAUGCAAUGAGAAGGAGAGGGAAAGUGUCUCUUAGGGCUGUUGUUCUUAGAAGAGUGUGAGCGAAGCAGGAACUUGGAAUUUCAUACUCUUUUUCCAGCACAAGUAUGAAGAAAUGAACUAGACGUGAAGAAGUCUGUGAAAAGAAGUCAGUGAACUUCAGGGAAUAUCCUGUGAGCAUCAUCUUCUUUAUUCAGCAACAUUAAGAGCAUCUCCAGUGGGUUCACAUAUAUUUUUUUGAGUGUCUGUUUUCUGUUAAUCAUGGUGAGAACAUUAAGAAUAAUUUUAGAAAUUGGAAACAUUCUUAACUCUGAGAGAUCAUUACUUUGCUCUGCUGUGGUUACAAAUACAGUAAGUUCAACAUAAAUACAGCUUAAGAAGUGUCUCAACCACUUCAGAAAUGUAGAAGUAUUUUUUAUAAUCUAGAGUAUUUAAUUAAUCAAAACUUCUAUUCCCCUAGUAUUCUGAGUAAUCAAUAUUUUCAUUUGUGAGUUUCAGAUGAAGAAUUAUUUGCACAAUGACAUAUCUGGGUUUUUUAAUACACUUUCUUCUGAAUCUUUCUUUAGUGUGAUGUGAGAUAUACAUGAGAAAUGUGCAUUUAAAUAGUCACAGUAAUGAUUGUAAUGAAUUCCAAGUGAGGACCGCAUGCUCUAAUUCCCAUGAAUUGAGGGGUAAUAUUUUUAUGUUAUCGUUUUCUAUAAUAAAACCUAAAAGCAGGUGCACAUGUCUGGCAAUUUAAAAGUUUCAAUAAAUUAAUAUUUGCUAAUAAUACUGACCUAUUUCUCCUAAGGAUUAAAUAAGUGGAAGUUUUAUUUUAAACUAGUUUUUAAAAUAGUGUGUUAUGAAGAGCCAAUGCUAUGGGUAUAACAGAAUUUUACUAUUAAGUCAAUUGAGUAUAACAUGUAAAAUUUUUUUCUCUUGGCCAACAAUCUCUGAUCUAGGGCAAAAUGUCUCAGAACAGUUGUCCAGAGUGAUGCAACUUCAUAGGCACCACUUACCAUCUUUAUUGGAAAAUUGAGUAGAUCUUUAUAGACAUACUUUUUUGUGUCUCAAAUUGAAAAACCUACUUAUAGAUAUUAGUCUGAUAUUUUAGUGACUAAGUAAAUUAUUAAAUAAAAUAUUUAUUAAGUGGUAAUUUUUAAUAGAUUUCCUAGUUUGGGUAUAUCAUUCUCACUAUUUAAAAGUUCAUGUAGGAGUUCCCUAAUGGCCUAGUGGUUAAAGACUCGGUGUUGUCACUUCUGUGGCUCUUUUGGUCCCUGGCCCAGAAACUUCCACAUUCCUUGGGAACAGCCAAAAAACAAAACAAAAGAAAACAAAACAAAAAAACAGCAACAGCUCAUGUUUUUAAGAUUAAAGAGCAACUGAGUGGGAGUUCCCGUCGGCUCGGUGGUUAAUGAAUCUGACUGGGAACCAUGAGGUUGUGGGUUUGAUCCCUGGCCUUCCUCAGUGGGUUAGGAUCUGGUGUUGCUGUGAGCUGUGGUGUAGGUUGCAGACGCAGCUCGGAUCCCCCAUUGCUGUGGCUCUGGCGUAGGCUGGAGGCUACAGCUCUGAUUAAAACCCUACCCUGGGAACCUCCAUGUGCCGCGAGUGCGGCCCCAGAAAA